RNAcentral lists this ribosomal RNA (271 nucleotides) under uncultured bacterium. Its description in RNAcentral is "partial 16S ribosomal RNA". The record is from RNAcentral.
CUGCUGCCUUCCGUAGGAGUUUGGGCCGUGUCUCAGUCCCAAUGUGGCCGGUCACCCUCUCAGGCCGGCUACUGAUCGUCGCCUUGGUAGGCCGUUACCCCACCAACUAGCUAAUCAGACGCGGGUCCAUCCCAUAUCGGUAGCAUUGUAAAGAGGCCACCUUUCCUCACCGGAAGAUGCCUUCCAAUGAGAGUAUCCGGUAUUAGCAGUCGUUUCCCAACUGUUGUCCCGGUUUAUGGGGCAGGUUACCCACGUGUUACUCACCCGUCCG